Non-coding RNA from Potamilus streckersoni, 73 nucleotides. Lineage: Eukaryota; Metazoa; Mollusca; Bivalvia; Unionida; Unionidae. The record is from the annotation of a GenBank genome assembly.
GUGGCCUAAGUGGUUAUAGCGACUGCCUCAAAUGUGGAAGGUCGCGGGUUCGAACCCCGGUCGAAUCUUACCA